Molecule: long non-coding RNA, 565 nt
Organism: Drosophila pseudoobscura
Lineage: Eukaryota; Metazoa; Arthropoda; Insecta; Diptera; Drosophilidae
Exons: 2
Source: RefSeq, a predicted model, not a curated record
UUUAAAUCCUUGACGACUAAAAAAUGAAAAAUACGACAGACAAAAUACGAAAUGGAGAGAUCUGAAAUUUGGCGUAAUAAUAUUUUGUAGCUAUUAAAAAAACAAACAAUACACGCAAGUCGAAAUGGAUGGCAUAUAAUGAAAAUCUCUAUAAAAAUUUGGCAUGAUAGUACUGCGGAUUUGCGGGGGUCCCGAAAUAAUUCCGUUAACGUCGACCGCGACAGAUUCAAGUACGGCUCUAAUAUUACUUCUGAAACCAAGGCUCCGCACCAAUGCGGAUUAACUGGUAAAUCUUCUGGAGGAAAAAUAUGCCAAUAGCCUCUGGACACUGAGCCCAUCCCGGGGGAAUGGUGGGAUUUUUUGACAGAUAUGAAAUUCCGAUUCACACUGGCACCAUCCACCAUCCGUCAAAAACAGCUGAUGGCAAUAAAAAGUACAUUAUAUUUGCGCGGAAGAUUUAUAAAUUUUUUGUAUUAUUUUUAGACCAUUAUUGUUUAGACCAUAAUGCAAAUUAUAAACUUAUUUAUAUUUCUCAGCACUUCCAAUAAAUCAGUAUGGAACUUUU